AACGAACGCUGGCGGCAUGCCUAACACAUGCAAGUCGAACGAGACCUUCGGGUCUAGUGGCGCACGGGUGCGAACCGCGUGGGAACCUGCCCUUAGGUUCGGAAUAACUCCCCGAAAGGGGUGCUAAUACCGGAUAAUGUCUUCGGACCAAAGAUUUAUCGCCUUUGGAUGGGCCCGCGUUGGAUUAGCUAGUUGGUAGGGUAAAAGCCUACCAAGGCGACGAUCCAUAGCUGGUCUGAGAGGAUGAUCAGCCACACUGGGACUGAGACACGGCCCAGACUCCUACGGGAGGCAGCAGUGGGGAAUAUUGGACAAUGGGCGAAAGCCUGAUCCAGCAAUGCCGCGUGAGUGAUGAAGGCCUUAGGGUUGUAAAGCUCUUUUACCCGGGAUGAUAAUGACAGUACCGGGAGAAUAAGCUCCGGCUAACUCCGUG
Molecule: ribosomal RNA, 433 nt
Filed under: uncultured bacterium
Lineage: Bacteria
Description: partial 16S ribosomal RNA
Rfam family: Bacterial small subunit ribosomal RNA
Source: RNAcentral